UACGAGAGGGCCGCUACCACGCGAGUGGAUGCCAAUCCCCAAAACCUCUCUCAGUUCGGACUGGAGUCUGCAACCCGACUCCACGAAGCUGGAUUCGCUAGUAAUCGCGCAUCAGCCACGGCGCGGUGAAUACGUUCCCGGGCCUUGUACACACCGCCCGUCAAGCCAUGGGAGCCGGGGGUACCUGAAGUGCGUAACCGCGAGGAGCGCCCUAGGGUAAAACUGGUGACUGGGGCUAAGUCGUAACAAGGUACC
This 255-nucleotide ribosomal RNA is filed under the name uncultured bacterium. Its description in RNAcentral is "partial 16S ribosomal RNA". It matches the Rfam family "Bacterial small subunit ribosomal RNA", at positions 1238 to 1500 of the family's 1533-position model. The record is from RNAcentral.